UGGCCCACCAAACCUGUAACCGGUACGGGCUCUGAGAGGAGGAGCCCGGAGAUGGGCACUGAGACAAGGGCCCAGGCCCUAUGGGGCGCAGCAGGCGCGAAACCUCUGCAAUAGGCGAAAGCUUGACAGGGUUACUUUGAGUGAUUUCCGUUAAGGAGAUCUUUUGGCACCUCUAAAAAUGGUGCAGAAUAAGGGGUGGGCAAGUCUGGUGUCAGCCGCCGCGGUAAUACCAGCACCCCGAGUGGUCGGGACGUUUAUUGGGCCUAAAGCAUCCGUAGCCGGUUCUACAAGUCUUCCGUUAAAUCCACCUGCUCAACAGAUGGGCUGCGGAAGAUACUAUGGAGCUAGGAGGCGGGAGAGGCAAGCGGUACUCGAUGGGUAGGGGUAAAAUCCGUUGAUCCAUUGAAGACCACCAGUGGCGAAGGCGGCUUGCCAGAACGCGCUCGACGGUGAGGGAUGAAAGCUGGGGGAGCAAACCGGAUUAGAUACCCGGGUAGUCCCAGCUGUAAACGAUGCAGACUCGGUGAUGAGUUGGCUUUAUCCAACUCAGUGCUGCAGGGAAGCCGUUAAGUUUGCCGCCUGGGGAGUACGGUCGCAAGACUGAAACUUAAAGGAAUUGGCGGGGGAGCACCACAAGGGGUGAAGCCUGCGGUUC
Molecule: ribosomal RNA, 655 nt
Filed under: uncultured archaeon
Lineage: Archaea
Description: bacterial SSU rRNA
Rfam family: Archaeal small subunit ribosomal RNA
Source: RNAcentral